This 522-nucleotide long non-coding RNA is filed under the name Hordeum vulgare. RNAcentral's name for it is "long non-coding RNA (HVUL_LNC005257)". Lineage: Eukaryota; Viridiplantae; Streptophyta; Magnoliopsida; Poales; Poaceae. The record is from RNAcentral.
ACUUGGCAUUUGGAUAAUUGCAAGAGAGCAUAACACUUAGUGCAACACCUGAAUAUACAUACGAUAUAAUACUGGUGGAGAGCUCGCAUUCAGGAAGUGCAGAGCUUCCUCAUAAUUGUGAUAUCUCAACAGAUCACAUUACAGACAUUUGACACACAGGUCUAAGAAACACGUGUAACUACACUAACAUUUGGGAUAUUUGAGGUACUUGGCAUGAAUAAUUUCGGCCAUCAACAUCAUCGCAACUUAGCUCGGUUCAUUCUCUUUACUCUGGAACAAGGUCAAUCUUAUUUGUUCUGACCUGUCUGCUCUAGGGAUCUUGGAGCUGCAGGCAGAUGGACACAUCUAGUUCAGAGCAUGUUUGUAAUCCAAAGUUACACCUAAUGAUAUGACCUACACAAACCUAAUGUUCAGGUAUACAGGUUAAACAGUCAAUGUGUUGGUAGCUGAUGGUGAAAGUACAUUAUAAGUUGAUGAAGUUUCAGGUCCCAACAGAUCCCAGCUAUAGGUUUCUGUCAGCCA